Molecule: small nuclear RNA, 196 nt
Organism: Sorghum bicolor (sorghum)
Lineage: Eukaryota; Viridiplantae; Streptophyta; Magnoliopsida; Poales; Poaceae
Rfam family: U2 spliceosomal RNA
About the family: U2 is a small nuclear RNA (snRNA) component of the spliceosome (involved in pre-mRNA splicing).
Source: Rfam
AUACCUUUCUCGGCCUUUUGGCUAAGAUCAAGUGUAGUAUCUGUUCUUAUCAGUUUAAUAUCUGAUAUGUGGGAUAUAUGCCCACAAUGAUAUUAAAAUUAUUUUUUGUGGGGAGAAUCAAAUAUGGUAGCUUGCUACUAAGGUUCUUGUGUCACCCUAGUGUUGCACUAUUGCUUGGGCUAUAGGCACACCCCCA